This 497-nucleotide ribosomal RNA is filed under the name uncultured bacterium. RNAcentral's name for it is "partial 16S ribosomal RNA". It matches the Rfam family "Bacterial small subunit ribosomal RNA", at positions 28 to 507 of the family's 1533-position model. The record is from RNAcentral.
GAUGAACGCUGGCGGCGUGCCUAAUACAUGCAAGUCGAGCGAACGGACGAGAAGCUUGCUUUUCUGAUGUUAGCGGCGGACGGGUGAGUAACACGUGGAUAACCUACCUAUAAGACUGGGAUGACUUCGGGAAACCGGAGCUAAUACCGGAUAAUAUUUUGAACCGCAUGGUUCAAAAGUGAAAGACGGUCUUGCUGUCACUUUUAGAUGGAUCCGCGCUGCAUUAGCUAGUUGGUAAGGUAACGGCUUACCAAGGCAACGAUGCAUAGCCGACCUGAGAGGGUGAUCGGCCACACUGGAACUGAGACACGGUCCAGACUCCUACGGGAGGCAGCAGUAGGGAAUCUUCCGCAAUGGGCGAAAGCCUGACGGAGCAACGCCGCGUGAGUGAUGAAGGUCUUCGGAUCGUAAAACUCUGUUAUUAGGGAAGAACAUAUGUGUAAGUAACUGUGCACAUCUUGACGGUACCUAAUCAGAAAGCCACGGCUAACUACGUG